Molecule: ribosomal RNA, 459 nt
Filed under: uncultured bacterium
Lineage: Bacteria
Description: partial 16S ribosomal RNA
Rfam family: Bacterial small subunit ribosomal RNA
Source: RNAcentral
CCUACGGGAGGCAGCAGUGAGGAAUAUUGGUCAAUGGCCGAGAGGCUGAACCAGCCAAGUCGCGUGAGGGAAGACGGCCCUACGGGUUGUAAACCUCUUUUGUCGGGGAGCAAAGAGAGUCACGUUUGACUCAUUGAGAGUACCCGAAGAAAAAGCAUCGGCUAACUCCGUGCCAGCAGCCGCGGUAAUACGGAGGAUGCGAGCGUUAUCCGGAUUUAUUGGGUUUAAAGGGUGCGCAGGCGGAGGUGCAAGUCAGCGGUCAAAUUGCGGGGCUCAACCCCGUACUGCCGGUGAAACUGCAUCCCUUGAGUAUCGGAGAGGUAAUCGGAAUUCCUAGUGUAGCGGUGAAAUGCGUAGAUAUUAGGAAGAACACCAGUGGCGAAGGCGGAUUACUGGACGACAACUGACGGUGAGGCGCGAAAGCGUGGGGAGCAAACAGGAUUAGAUACCCUGGUAGUC